RNAcentral lists this ribosomal RNA (844 nucleotides) under Campylobacter jejuni. RNAcentral describes it as "partial 23S ribosomal RNA". It matches the Rfam family "Bacterial large subunit ribosomal RNA", at positions 1 to 862 of the family's 2925-position model. Lineage: Bacteria; Pseudomonadati; Campylobacterota; Epsilonproteobacteria; Campylobacterales; Campylobacteraceae. The record is from RNAcentral.
AAAGGUAAGCUACUAAGAGCGAAUGGUGGAUGCCUUGACUGGUAAAGGCGAUGAAGGACGUACUAGACUGCGAUAAGCUACGGGGAGCUGUCAAGAAGCUUUGAUCCGUAGAUUUCCGAAUGGGGCAACCCAAUGUAUAGAGAUAUACAUUACCUAUAUAGGAGCGAACGAGGGGAAUUGAAACAUCUUAGUACCCUCAGGAAAAGAAAUCAAUAGAGAUUGCGUCAGUAGCGGCGAGCGAAAGCGCAAGAGGGCAAACCCAGUGCUUGCACUGGGGGUUGUAGGACUGCAAUGUGCAAGAGGUAAGUUUAGCAGAACAUUCUGGAAAGUAUAACCAUAGAGGGUGAUAGUCCCGUAUGCGAAAAACAAACCUUAGCUAGCAGUAUCCUGAGUAGGGCGGGACACGAGGAAUCCUGUCUGAAUCCGGGUCGACCACGAUCCAACCCUAAAUACUAAUACCAGAUCGAUAGUGCACAAGUACCGUGAGGGAAAGGUGAAAAGAACUGAGGUGAUCAGAGUGAAAUAGAACCUGAAACCAUUUGCUUACAAUCAUUCAGAGCCCUAUGUAGCAAUACAGGGUGAUGGACUGCCUUUUGCAUAAUGAGCCUGCGAGUUGUGGUGUCUGGCAAGGUUAAGCAAACGCGAAGCCGUAGCGAAAGCGAGUCUGAAUAGGGCGCUUAGUCAGAUGCUGCAGACCCGAAACGAAGUGAUCUAUCCAUGAGCAAGUUGAAGCUAGUGUAAGAACUAGUGGAGGACUGAACCCAUAGGCGUUGAAAAGCCCCGGGAUGACUUGUGGAUAGGGGUGAAAGGCCAAUCAAACUUCGUGAUAGCUGGUUCUCUCCGA